UACGGAGGGGGCUAGCGUUGUUCGGAAUUACUGGGCGUAAAGCGCACGUAGGCGGCUUUGUAAGUUAGAGGUGAAAGCCCGGGGCUCAACUCCGGAAUUGCCUUUAAGACUGCAUCGCUCGAAUUGUGGAGAGGUAAGUGGAAUUCCGAGUGUAGAGGUGAAAUUCGUAGAUAUUCGGGAGAACACCAGUGGCGAAGGCGACUGACUGGACAAGUAUUGACGCUGAGGUACGAAAGCGUGGGGAGCAAACAGG
Molecule: ribosomal RNA, 253 nt
Filed under: uncultured bacterium
Lineage: Bacteria
Description: partial 16S ribosomal RNA
Rfam family: Bacterial small subunit ribosomal RNA
Source: RNAcentral